RNAcentral lists this ribosomal RNA (253 nucleotides) under uncultured bacterium. Its description in RNAcentral is "partial 16S ribosomal RNA". It matches the Rfam family "Bacterial small subunit ribosomal RNA", at positions 524 to 776 of the family's 1533-position model. The record is from RNAcentral.
UACGUAGGGUGCGAGCGUUAAUCGGAAUUACUGGGCGUAAAGCGUGCGCAGGCGGUUUAGUAAGCCAGAUGUGAAAUCCCCGGGCUUAACCUGGGAAUGGCAUUUGGGACUGCAAGGCUAGAGUGCGGCAGAGGGGACUGGAAUUCCUGGUGUAGCAGUGAAAUGCGUAGAUAUCAGGAGGAAUACCGAUGGCGAAGGCAGGUCCCUGGGUUGACACUGACGCUCAUGCACGAAAGCGUGGGGAGCAAACAGG